Molecule: ribosomal RNA, 442 nt
Filed under: Methanothrix soehngenii
Lineage: Archaea; Methanobacteriati; Methanobacteriota; Methanomicrobia; Methanotrichales; Methanotrichaceae
Description: partial 16S ribosomal RNA
Source: RNAcentral
GGAUUCCAGCUUCAUNAGGGCGAGUUGCAGCCCUCAAUCCGAACUAAGAUUGGCUUUAGGAGAUUUCCAUCCCCUUUCGGGGUAGAUACCCAUUGUACCAACCAUUGUAGCUCGCGUGUAGCCCGGGGUAUUCGGGGCAUACUGACCUACCGUUGCCCAUUCCUUCCUCCGCUUUAGCAGCGGCGGUGGGGACAGUGUACCCGUCACUCCGGAGAGUACGCUGGCAACUGUGGGCGUGGGUCUCGCUCGUUGCCUGACUUAACAGGAUGCUUCACAGUACGAACUGACGACGGCCAUGCACCACCUCUCAGCUAAUCCGGCAAAGUCUUCAGCCUGGCCUUCAUAUUGCUGUCGGUCCCGGUAAGAUUUCCGGCGUUGAAUCCAAUUAAACCGCAAGCUCCACCCGUUGUGGUGCUCCCCCGCCAAUUCCUUUAAGUUUCAG